RNA transcript from Folsomia candida, 1699 nucleotides. RefSeq lists it as uncharacterized. NCBI's taxonomy places the organism in Eukaryota, Metazoa, Arthropoda, Collembola, Entomobryomorpha, Isotomidae. The record is from RefSeq and is a predicted model, not a curated record. The transcript has 9 exons.
CUAGGAAAACUCUUGAACUACUCUCUUACAAGAAAGCGGAAUAUUCAAAAUAUUUCCAUAACAAUGAUAAUCCAAUCCUUUCAAGGGAAGAUGACGUCAGAGAAAUACCGAAUCAUAAACUUGCUCAAUUUUCCGAAAGCCUAACAAAAAUAAUGGCAUUAACGAAACGUAAUUUCUUAAUCAGUUAUAGAAUGCCUGUAUAUAUCCUACUGACAAUGCUUCUACCCUUGGUGCAGGCAACUCUUACAGUUUACACGUUUGGAAGAGACCCUGUUGGACUAAUUUUAGCCGUGUCCAACCAAGAAGGGAUUUGUCACCAGGGAGUUGGGUUAUCAGUAAGGGAACGAUUCGAACAUCGUUGGAGUUGUGGUUUCAUAGAAGAAAUUAUGAACGAUUCGCAGCAAAAGAUUAUUCUGAAAGUCUACGAAUCCAAGGAAGCGGCACGACAUUCCGUCGAACUAGGAGAUACGAUUGGAUUCAUGCAUUUUCCCAGAAAUUUUUCCCAGCACAAUUUAAACAGGUUAGCUUUUCACAGGCUCGCAACAAGUGAAGAUUUAGCCGGAAGCACGGUUCAAAUUUCGCUGGAUAUGACAAACAAAAUGACGACAAGCUUCGUACUAGAAACUUUACAAGGAAAAUAUUUCAAAUUUGUGGAAAAGAUGUUCAAUAAUUAUACCUCGAGCGGUUCUCAGUUUGAUUGGCAGGAUUACUUGCUACCUGGCGUUAUUCCGCUAGUGAUAUGUUUGUUCUCAAUGAUUUGCGCAUCAUCCUUGAUUAAAGAUAAGGAGGAGGGAACCCUGCAAAGAUCACGGGCAUGCGGAGUGGAGCUGUGGCAUAUCUAUGUAUCCUAUUACUUAUCCGAGUCUCCCACCACGCUGGCACAGAUUGGAAUUUAUUUUAUGAGCUAUCUCCUACUGGGUGGAUAUACGAAUAAGGGGUUUUUUUGGCUGUGUUUCUUAACUGCGGUCUUAUCAGGUUGGGUCGGGAUUGCGAUUGGGUCGCAUAUGUUUAUACUUUACUCCGUACCGGGAUUGAUUUGUUAAUAUCGUCUUACCGGAUUGAUGGUAUCAGCGGUCAGUUUUUUGUUCAACCGUAAUGCCCAGAGUAAAAGCAACAUAUCCUCCUUCCAAACCAUGGGAAGCCUGGGAUUGGCUGGUCGUGUUUUUGACUGCACACUUAAAAAUAUAAUGCUAAAUGCAAUGAUAUAGAACAGAUUGAAAUAAUCGAGAUCGGUUUGUGGCAUCAUACGUAUGACCUCAGGGGGUGGAUCCUAUCAACUUUUGGGAUCAAUCGGACAAUUCCCCCUAGCACUUGGCGGUGUGGUCGGCGGAAAGGUAGAUUUUUACUAAAUGCGAAACUUGAUUGGAUCCUCUCCCUGGGGUCAUAUGUAUAAUGCCGCAAACCGAUCUCGAUGAUCUCCAUUCGUUCAAUAUUAUAACAUGUAACAUUAAAUUUUUAAGUGUGCAGCCAAAAAUAGACCAGCCAAUUCCAGACUUCCCAUCGUUUGGAAGGAGGCGCUUCCACACAUAUGAUUCUCACUCUGGUGGUAAUGCCCUUUAUUACUUACCAGUGCCAGUAGAGUCAUAAAUGUACUCCGGGCUACUUAUCGGUACAGUUUUGUCUCGGAGUAUGGAAGUCGUAAUGUUUUCGCUCAUGGCACUAUUAGCCACAUUUUAUUCCAGUGGAUUUUCUUGGCCUU